UACGGGGGGGGCAAGCGUUGUUCGGAAUUACUGGGCGUAAAGGGCUCGUAGGCGGCCAACUAAGUCAGACGUGAAAUCCCUCGGCUUAACCGGGGAACUGCAUCUGAUACUGGAUGGCUUGAGUUUGGGAGAGGGAUGCGGAAUUCCAGGUGUAGCGGUGAAAUGCGUAGAUAUCUGGAGGAACACCGAUGGCGAAGGCAAUCCCCUGGGCCUGCACUGACGCUCAUGCACGAAAGCGUGGGGAGCAAACAGG
This 253-nucleotide ribosomal RNA is filed under the name uncultured bacterium. Its description in RNAcentral is "partial 16S ribosomal RNA". It matches the Rfam family "Bacterial small subunit ribosomal RNA", at positions 524 to 776 of the family's 1533-position model. The record is from RNAcentral.